UCUGAUGGAGUAGGCUGCAAUGAACCAACGCAUUUGUAGACCAACAGAUGCCGUCAGGUUUUCUGUUAGAUUGACCCCGUCAACUCACAUAGGACAGGAAAGAUGAAACUGUUAUUCCUGUUGUUACCAGAGGGUCUUUUAAGGAAGAAGGAUUAAGGCAUGCAUCGAGGAAGAGAGCGGGUUUUCAUCGGACUUGGCUACUAUAGCCGAGCGCUUCGCUUCUUCCUCUACCUAUCCAACAAUAAUUCAAUUCAAUUCAAAUGCAAAUGGGUUGUACGUUGUUGGGUGCUAAUCACUCUCUCAAUCCAAAACCCAGUCAAGUCUGCCUCUCUCUCAUACGACCUCCGCGUGCGUCUCCAAUACUGCUCCUCUCUCUCAAUCAAAACUCUCUUCUUUUUAGUCUGGGUUGUUACAAAAUCCGAAAACAUUAGAAUUACGUAUACGUGGUGCCUGAGUUCUCCGACGACGAUAAUCAAAUACUGCAACACUCUGCACGAGAAACUUUCAGGUUUGCUCAUAUGCUUGAUUUUGCAAAGAGGAUAUCUUGGUUUCAUAUUAUUUAUAUUGGGAUACUGGUAAUGAUUUUUGAUACUUCUGCUCACAUUCGAAUUCUAGUGUUCUUAGCUGAAGUGUUAGGAUUAUAUUUGUUUUGUUGAGAGGUCAUGAUUUGGACUCCAAAUCAGUUCAAACUUGAAAAAAAUGAUGGAUGAUACUGAAUGUUUUUCAUUUGUUGGCAGGAUGGUAGUUUUAGGUUAAUCUAGAACUUUGAUUGCAUGGACUUCUUAUAAUAAGUUUCAAGUUAUUCAGUAGCAAGCAGCUUUGGAGGACAGUAAAAAUAAGGUCAACUUACGUUUUACAGCCUUGGAGGCUUGGAUUGGAGCAUUAGAAUUUGAGAUUGUUGAUAAAGCUUUUCUGAAGCAGCUCAAACUGUUCCAGAGUUAAUUUUUUCAACUUAGCUUCCAUUUUGUUAUUAAGAUUUGGUUGUAUUCAAUUUAAUUGUGAUUUGUAUUCUUAUGGAUUUUGUGGCAAUUUUGGUUGAAAGAACAGGGAAUGGUAAGAGACUUGGAAAGGGAGGAUUUCAUACAUGAAAGCUUUGGAAAUGUUAUCCCUCAAGCAUAUUACUGAGAGCCAGAACCAGGUUGUGAUUACCGAUAGGAUCUGGGCCACAACUCCUUUCUUCAACCAACCAACCGAGCUUCUUGAACCCCAAAGAUGUUGAUGAAGUCCAAAAAGAGGAAGAGCCUCCAACUCAACUGCUAGACAGGGAAAAUUGUAAAGCUAGCAAGUACUGAAGACAUUCCUGGCAUGAUAUGAAAACACAAGACUGUUUUAUUCGAAACCUUCUGUUAGAAUCACUAGUAUUCAGAUCUUUGGUUGAUGCCCUACUGCCCCAGAAUGUUGAUGGGAAUUCACAUUUUUGACUGCUAGUAGCAUCUGUGGAGCAUAAUUGUUUGUUGUUGUAUCAGAUGAAUUCAAUUCACCAUGCCCUAUCGAAGAGAUUUCCGCUUAAAAUGUUCAUUUGAUAUAAGCAAUACUAGCAUUUCUGGAAUGGGAUUAGCAGUCUAAUUAAGCUCCAUCCUGUACGAGUUUGUAAUUACUUAGGUCAUUGCAUAUUUUUGACAAGUGCUGCUACUGGCCGUUUGUUCUGUUGGAUAGUUUUGGGUGCUUAGCAGUAGAUAGUAGUUUGGAUGUUUAACAGGAGCUGCUAUGCCAUCUGUUCUGUUUCAUUUUUAUGCUUUCGUCUUAAAAUUGAGUCGAGUAUAUUCAUCCUUUACACAUUUCCUGCAAUGCGGUAACGCAAUUAUUUCAUUGUAUCUGCACAGCCAUACCAAACAGUCAUAGUGGCAUGGUCAUUCAUUGUUUUGCGAUAUAUCAUGUGUAGGGUUUGUUUGUGAGUUUCUAACCGUAUUUGUUCAUUUCAAGGUCUCUAAUACAUCAUGUACCUUGCGGACUAACUACUUCGUAUGUAUUAUGAGUUAUAUGUCAUGAAUGAUUCAUUCUACUGUGCGCUA
RNA transcript from Rosa rugosa (rugosa rose), 2012 nucleotides. RefSeq lists it as uncharacterized. NCBI's taxonomy places the organism in Eukaryota, Viridiplantae, Streptophyta, Magnoliopsida, Rosales, Rosaceae. The record is from RefSeq and is a predicted model, not a curated record. The transcript has 4 exons.